Molecule: ribosomal RNA, 465 nt
Filed under: Vreelandella stevensii
Lineage: Bacteria; Pseudomonadati; Pseudomonadota; Gammaproteobacteria; Oceanospirillales; Halomonadaceae
Description: partial 16S ribosomal RNA
Rfam family: Bacterial small subunit ribosomal RNA
Source: RNAcentral
CCUACGGGGGGCUGCAGUGGGGAAUAUUGGACAAUGGGCGAAAGCCUGAUCCAGCCAUGCCGCGUGUGUGAAGAAGGCCUUCGGGUUGUAAAGCACUUUCAGUGGGGAAGAAAGCCUUGGGGCUAAUACCCUCGAGGAAGGACAUCACCCACAGAAGAAGCACCGGCUAACUCCGUGCCAGCAGCCGCGGUAAUACGGAGGGUGCGAGCGUUAAUCGGAAUUACUGGGCGUAAAGCGCGCGUAGGCGGUCUGAUAAGCCGGUUGUGAAAGCCCCGGGCUCAACCUGGGAACGGCAUCCGGAACUGUCAGGAUAGAGUGCAGGAGAGGAAGGUAGAAUUCCCGGUGUAGCGGUGAAAUGCGUAGAGAUCGGGAGGAAUACCAGUGGCGAAGGCGGCCUUCUGGACUGACACUGACGCUGAGGUGCGAAAGCGUGGGUAGCAAACAGGAUUAGAUACCCCGGUAGUC